GUUCGGAACGCGAGGCGGGCGCGCAGCUGUUCUCCGCUCGCAUUGGACCAGAGGGAGCAGAUGUUAGCCGGUUGCUAGGAGCGUUGCUAGGAGGCGAUGACGCCCCUCCACAGCUCGGGAGCAACUUUCCUGAACCACCUCGAGAAAAAUAACAGAUGUUGGAAGGCAUGAUGGAACGGUCGGGGUAAUCUCAAGAUCACGGAAUGGCUUGGUGGCACAGCCAGAACUAAAGCACAGGCACCCCUGCACAGUGUAGAAGUGCCCUGAGAUGCCUGGGUGAGCAACUAAGAUCCUCAGUCAGCCCGUCAUGUUCCAGUGCCACCAUGGGUUAGGAAGAACUGAAGCGACAAAUGAGCUUACAGUCAGCAGGGUUUCCUUGAAUAAUUGUCACUCCUACAACAUUUGAAAUAAGACAGUUUUCUCAAAAGGAAAAAAAAAUGUAUGUGCUACCGUGUAGAAGCUUCUCACCAAAUGAAUUCAUUUUCUUGUACAUACAAACUACAAUUCCCAGCCUUCUUAAAUACAGGUGGAGCCAUGUGACUCUUUCUGACCAAAGGAGUUAACACAGAAGUGGUGAUUACUACCUCUAACCCUGGUCCCUUAACUGUACAUUUGAUUCUCCUGCUUUUUCUUCUUCCUCAAUUUGCAUGGCCAUAUAUUCUUUCAGAGGUGCUAGGGCUCUGGGAUGGCCCUCAGUCCCUGAGACGCAGCUAAGAAAGAAAGCUACGUGGGCAAAAAACAUCUUAACAGGAAAUAAACCUA
Ailuropoda melanoleuca (giant panda) is the source of this 762-nucleotide long non-coding RNA. RefSeq lists it as uncharacterized. The record is from RefSeq and is a predicted model, not a curated record. NCBI's taxonomy places the organism in Eukaryota, Metazoa, Chordata, Mammalia, Carnivora, Ursidae. The transcript is spliced from 4 exons.